UGCUAAAGUUACAGUCAUACGACAACGCAGUAUUGCCGUCAACUUUGGCCAAGAAUACAUCCUCAAUCCCCUUCAGCUGCAGCUGAACAGAGGUAGUUGGACAGGCUAAGCACAUCGGUUGACUUAAGGCUCCACCAAUAGACUAAUGCCAACUUGAAGAGCUACAAAACUGCACCAAGAACAUUUGAAGGUUGCAGGUGCAGCCUAUGCUAUGAGUGGGAGG
Molecule: long non-coding RNA, 223 nt
Organism: Alosa sapidissima (American shad)
Lineage: Eukaryota; Metazoa; Chordata; Actinopteri; Clupeiformes; Clupeidae
Exons: 3
Source: RefSeq, a predicted model, not a curated record